This 140-nucleotide small RNA is filed under the name Marmota monax (woodchuck). Lineage: Eukaryota; Metazoa; Chordata; Mammalia; Rodentia; Sciuridae. The record is from RNAcentral.
UUGAAAUAAUGAGGCUAAAAGCAACUUAAAUGUCCAAUGAAAGGAGACUGAUAAAAUAAAUUUUGUUAUAUCCAUACAAAGGAAUACUAUGUAAUCAUUAAGUAGAUGUGUGUGUGUGUGUGUGUGUACUCAUACUUAAA